AUUGAACGCUGGCGGCAUGCCUUACACAUGCAAGUCGAACGGUAACAGGUCUUCGGAUGCUGACGAGUGGCGAACGGGUGAGUAAUACAUCGGAACGUGCCUAGUAGUGGGGGAUAACUACUCGAAAGAGUGGCUAAUACCGCAUGAGAUCUACGGAUGAAAGCAGGGGAUCGCAAGACCUUGUGCUACUAGAGCGGCCGAUGGCAGAUUAGUGGGUUGGUGGGAUAAAACCUUACCAAGCCGACGACCUGUAGCUGGUCUGAGAGGACGAUCAGCCACACUGGGACUGAGACACGGCCCAGACUCCUACGGGAGGCAGCAGUGGGGAAUUUUGGACAAUGGGCGCAAGCCUGAUCCAGCAAUGCCGCGUGCAGGAUGAAGGCCUUCGGGUUGUAAACUGCUUUUGUACGGAACGAAAAGCCCCGGGUUAAUACCCUGGUGUCAUGACGGUACCGUAAGAAUAAGCACCGGCUAACUACGAGCCAGCAGCCGCCGUAA
Molecule: ribosomal RNA, 498 nt
Filed under: uncultured bacterium
Lineage: Bacteria
Description: partial 16S ribosomal RNA
Rfam family: Bacterial small subunit ribosomal RNA
Source: RNAcentral